Molecule: ribosomal RNA, 490 nt
Filed under: uncultured bacterium
Lineage: Bacteria
Description: partial 16S ribosomal RNA
Rfam family: Bacterial small subunit ribosomal RNA
Source: RNAcentral
AUUGAACGCUGGCGGCAGGCCUAACACAUGCAAGUCGAACGGUAACAGGAAGACGCUUGCUUCUUUGCUGACGAGUGGCGGACGGGUGAGUAAUGUCUGGGAAACUGCCUGAUGGAGGGGGAUAACUACUGGAAACGGUAGCUAAUACCGCAUAACGUCGCAAGACCAAAGAGGGGGACCUUCGGGCCUCUUGCCAUCGGAUGUGCCCAGAUGGGAUUAGCUAGUAGGUGGGGUAACGGCUCACCUAGGCGACGAUCCCUAGCUGGUCUGAGAGGAUGACCAGCCACACUGGAACUGAGACACGGUCCAGACUCCUACGGGAGGCAGCAGUGGGGAAUAUUGCACAAUGGGCGCAAGCAUGAUGCAGCCAUGCCGCGUGUAUGAAGAAGGCCUUCGGGUUGUAAAGUACUUUCAGCGGGGAGGAAGGGAGUAAAGUUAAUAACUUUGCUAAUUGACGUUACCCGCAGAAGAAGCACCGGCUAACUCCGUG